RNAcentral lists this ribosomal RNA (484 nucleotides) under uncultured bacterium. RNAcentral describes it as "partial 16S ribosomal RNA". It matches the Rfam family "Bacterial small subunit ribosomal RNA", at positions 30 to 507 of the family's 1533-position model. The record is from RNAcentral.
AUUGAACGCUGGCGGCAGGCCUAACACAUGCAAGUCGAGCGGAUGAAGGGAGCUUGCUCCUGGAUUCAGCGGCGGACGGGUGAGUAAUGCCUAGGAAUCUGCCUGGUAGUGGGGGAUAACGUCCGGAAACGGGCGCUAAUACCGCAUACGUCCUGAGGGAGAAAGUGGGGGAUCUUCGGACCUCACGCUAUCAGAUGAGCCUAGGUCGGAUUAGCUAGUUGGUGGGGUAAAGGCCCACCAAGGCGACGAUCCGUAACUGGGCUGAGAGGAUGAUCAGUCACACUGGAACUGAGACACGGUCCAGACUCCUACGGGAGGCAGCAGUGGGGAAUAUUGGACAAUGGGCGAAAGCCUGAUCCAGCCAUGCCGCGUGUGUGAAGAAGGUCUUCGGAUUGUAAAGCACUUUAAGUUGGGAGGAAGGGCAGUAAGUUAAUACCUUGCUGUUUUGACGUUACCAACAGAAUAAGCACCGGCUAACUUCGUG